CAGUCGCCGCGGGAAUACGUAGGUCCCGAGCGUUGUCCGGAUUUAUUGGGCGUAAAGCGAGCGCAGGCGGUUAGAUAAGUCUGAAGUUAAAGGCUGUGGCUUAACCAUAGUACGCUUUGGAAACUGUUUAACUUGAGUGCAAGAGGGGAGAGUGGAAUUCCAUGUGUAGCGGUGAAAUGCGUAGAUAUAUGGAGGAACACCGGUGGCGAAAGCGGCUCUCUGGUCUGUCACUGACGCUGAGGCUCGAAAGCGUGGGUAGCGAACAGGAUUAGAUACCCGUGUAGUCCCUGUCUCUUAUACA
RNAcentral lists this ribosomal RNA (301 nucleotides) under uncultured bacterium. Its description in RNAcentral is "partial 16S ribosomal RNA". It matches the Rfam family "Bacterial small subunit ribosomal RNA", at positions 509 to 808 of the family's 1533-position model. The record is from RNAcentral.